Molecule: ribosomal RNA, 485 nt
Filed under: uncultured bacterium
Lineage: Bacteria
Description: bacterial SSU rRNA
Rfam family: Bacterial small subunit ribosomal RNA
Source: RNAcentral
GAUGAACGCUAGCGGCAGGCCUAACACAUGCAAGUCAGGGGUAACAUAGGAAAGCUUGCUUUUCUGAUGACGACCGGCGCACGGGUGCGUAACGCGUAUACAACCUACCUUUUAGCGGGGAAUAGCCCAGGGAAACUUGGAUUAAUGCCCCAUAGGAUAUAGACUUCUCCUGAAGUUUAUAUUAAACAUUUAUGGCUAUUAGAUGGGUAUGCGUCCUAUUAGUUAGUUGGUAAGGUAACGGCUUACCAAGGCAGCGAUAGGUAGGGGUCCUGAGAGGGAGAUCCCCACACUGGUACUGAGACACGGACCAGACUCCUACGGGAGGCAGCAGUGAGGAAUAUUGGACAAUGGGCGAGAGCCUGAUCCAGCCAUGCCGCGUGCAGGAAGACUGCCCUAUGGGUUGUAAACUGCUUUUACAGAGGAAGAACCACCCCACGUGUGGGGGUUUGACGGUACUCUGCGAAUAAGGAUCGGCUAACUCCGUG